This 465-nucleotide ribosomal RNA is filed under the name Vreelandella stevensii. RNAcentral's name for it is "partial 16S ribosomal RNA". It matches the Rfam family "Bacterial small subunit ribosomal RNA", at positions 338 to 795 of the family's 1533-position model. The record is from RNAcentral. Lineage: Bacteria; Pseudomonadati; Pseudomonadota; Gammaproteobacteria; Oceanospirillales; Halomonadaceae.
CCUACGGGGCGCAGCAGUGGGGAAUAUUGGACAAUGGGCGAAAGCCUGAUCCAGCCAUGCCGCGUGUGUGAAGAAGGCCUUCGGGUUGUAAAGCACUUUCAGUGGGGAAGAAAGCCUUGGGGCUAAUACCCUCGAGGAAGGACAUCACCCACAGAAGAAGCACCGGCUAACUCCGUGCCAGCAGCCGCGGUAAUACGGAGGGUGCGAGCGUUAAUCGGAAUUACUGGGCGUAAAGCGCGCGUAGGCGGUCUGAUAAGCCGGUUGUGAAAGCCCCGGGCUCAACCUGGGAACGGCAUCCGGAACUGUCAGGCUAGAGUGCAGGAGAGGAAGGUAGAAUUCCCGGUGUAGCGGUGAAAUGCGUAGAGAUCGGGAGGAAUACCAGAGGCGAAGGCGGCCUUCUGGACUGACACUGACGCUGAGGUGCGAAAGCGUGGGUAGCAAACAGGAUUAGAUACCCUGGUAGUC